Molecule: ribosomal RNA, 910 nt
Filed under: uncultured bacterium
Lineage: Bacteria
Description: bacterial SSU rRNA
Rfam family: Bacterial small subunit ribosomal RNA
Source: RNAcentral
AGAGUUUGAUCCUGGCUCAGGAUGAACGCUAGCGGCAGGCUUAACACAUGCAAGUCGAGGGGCAGCAUACCCAGCAAUGGGUGAUGGCGACCGGCGGAAGGGUGCGUAACGCGUGAGCAACAUACCCUAUACAGGGGGAUAAGCCAGGGAAACUUGGUCUAAUAUCCCAUAGGAAAUAGAUAAGGCAUCUUGUUUAUUUUAAAGCUUCGGUGGUAUAGGAUUGGCUCGCGUGACAUUAGCUAGAUGGAGGGGUAACGGCCCACCAUGGCAAUGAUGUCUAGGGGUUCUGAGAGGAAGAUCCCCCACACUGGGACUGAGACACGGCCCAGACUCCUACGGGAGGCAGCAGUGAGGAAUAUUGGACAAUGGAUGGAAAUCUGAUCCAGCCAUGCCGCGUGCAGGAAGACGGCCCUAUGGGUUGUAAACUGCUUUUAUACGGGAGCAAUAAGGUCUAUGCAUAGAUUGAUGAGAGUACCGUAUGAAUAAGCAUCGGCUAACUCCGUGCCAGCAGCCGCGGUAAUACGGAGGAUGCGAGCGUUAUCCGGAUUUAUUGGGUUUAAAGGGUGCGUAGGCGGCUUUGUAAGUCAGCGGUGAAAUUUUGCAGCUUAACUGUAAAAGUGCCGUUGAUACUGUGAAGCUAGGAUUUGGUUGCUGUGGGCGGAAUGUGUGGUGUAGCGGUGAAAUGCAUAGAGAUCACACAGAAUAUCGAUUGCGAAGGCAGCUCACAAAGCCAAUAUUGACGCUGAGGCACGAAAGUGUGGGGAUCAAACAGGAUUAGAUACCCUGGUAGUCCACACUGUAAACGAUGAUAACUCGCUGUCGGCGAUAGACCGUCGGUGGCCAAGCGAAAGCGAUAAGUUAUCCACCUGGGGAGUACGACCGCAAGGUUGAAACUCAAAUGAAUUGACGG